ACUGAAGGUUGGAAUGAUUGAGUGUGAGAAGUUAUAUUAUUUAUUUUGUUAUGUUACAACCUUAUGUCAUUAGAAAUAAUUUGUAAACUGCUUCAAAUUUUAAGUGCAGUGAGUUUGGUGUUAAAAGAAAAUCAAAAUUUCCUGAUAAUGCCAAGGGAACACUGUCUAGGAGAAUAAACAGCUACCCAGAUGAGAAGUCCUCUUUGAACUGAAGACUAACCUGUGAUCCAUUGUGCGUAUUGGUGUCUUUACUUGGUCAACAGCAUUAUGGUGACUACCAGCAUUCAACAAAUUUCUGCAAAAAGCAGUAAUGGAAGUGAAAGCACUUUAAACCAAGCACAGCCGCAUGUUCUGCUACACUAUCUGAAGCGUUUAAAGAGAACCAAGAGCAUCCACUGAGUAAUGUUCUGCAGUCUCAAAACUAAAUCCACUUUCUGCUUGUCUGCUACCAGAGGACACAGGCAGGGGAAACAUGUUUGCUUGUCUCUGAUGCCUGAAGAUAUAAUUCUUUCUGCAAGAAAUCAUUGUGCAUUAGCAGUAAUACAGCAUUAGCACUAAUGGUGAAGUCUCAGCCUGUUGUGUGAAGCCCUCCUUGUUUGGAGGCUUAAGUGUCCUAAUUGAGCUAAGGCCCAAUCCUGGCUUACUCUAAACCCCGUCUGUGAAACCAGGACUGAGUGUCUGCCAGCACAUGUGCACUGAACAAGGCUGCAGAUAAGGCAAUAAAUUUAAUUUUUUUUUUUUUUAAACGCAUUGCUGUUUGACCUGCAUUUCUCCUGUUUCACAUGCAGGAAACCAUGCAGUCCCAUCUCCCCCCUCUUCCCUGUACGUCACCCACACCUUUCCUUUUUCUGUUUAUGGCUGUCUAACUAUUACAAAGUUCCGAUGCAGACUUUUCAUUCUAGAUGUAGCAACACUCCACUUCUCAUGGGUGUGAAUGAGACCAGGAUUUUACCAGAGGACACUGUGAUACCAAAAACUGCGAGGGGAGAUGGAGCAGGUUUCCUUCUCAAAUACUCAAAAAUAUACUCUUGCUCAAUUUUCUUUUUUAGUUUCCUGUAGUUAACCUCAGCUUCAAAGUGUAAUAUGUGUUCCACGUGAGAGGUGCAGCUUCUUGAUGUUUUUCCUUCUGUUGUCCUGUUCCUUGGUCUCACUUGUCAUUUACAACUUCAGCACUCCUCUAGGUUAAGCCUCCAUAAUUUUAGCUCUUCUACUCAUUUGAUGUUUGAAAUGUGGAGGGCUUUCUUUGGUGUAUUUGUUGGAUAAUAUAGCAAUCUUGCAAUGCAGCCUCUGAUCAACCAAUGUUGGGUAUACUGGUUGAGGAGCAGAACAGGGUAGAAUCAGUCACCUGCAGUUGCAUUUCCAAAACCACAAGCUCAGGCGUCAGAUGGGGCCGUUUGUCUAUGUAUUCUCUUGUGCUCAUCUGCAUUUUGCAUUUAUUCAACCUUGUAAUGCUUCCAUACGUUUACCUUUCCCCCUUAUACUCCUUGUAUUUAUGCCAUUGUCCUGUUUGUUUUGCAGUCAAUUGAAGUUGUAUUGUGCUUCUCACAAUUGUAUCAAAGUAGCUUUUAUUUCCCUUUGUACUUGAGUACUUGUUUUGUUCAUGCAACUCUUUUAGCCUUUUGUGGUGCUUUUUUUUUUUUUUUUGUGCCCUCCUGUAUGCACCUUUUUUCCCAUGCCCCCUUUUUUGUAUUAUGCCUUCAUUGCCCUUUUAUGCAUAUGACUGUCAAUUUUUUUGUUUUGUAUUUUAUCCACAAUUCUUUUUGUAUUCCCUUUUGCCUGGUAUCCUCUUAUGUAUGAAUUGUUCUAGUAUUGUUUCCCCCCAUCAUUUGUGUCCCAUUGUAGUGUUACUUUUAACUUUUGUAUUUAUGGUUUUCAUUUAGUGACUUUACACUUUAUGGCCCUUUUCAUUAGUCUUAAGCUUAAGAGCAUCAAAUGGCACAACUUUUUCUUUCUUUUUAACUAACUGACUAACCCCCACCCCCUUUUCCCCUUCCAAUUUCUGUUCCCUUUAUAGUUCCUCUGCCCUUUUUCAAUUACUAAUUGUAUACAAUUUUAAUUUCUUAAAAUCAGCUUUAAAGCACUACAAAUGUAACUUGAUAUUUGAAUAUUAUGCACUUUUUGUUAUGGCCGUUUCUAUUGACUUUUGUGAAGCUACUUUUGCAAAAUAUUUUGUGCUUUUUGUAUUAUGCCACUUUGGGUUAUGUUUUAUAAUUUCUCAUUUUGUAUAGUAAUUUUACAUAUUCCAUUAUUAUUAUUAUUAUUAUUAUUAUUAUUAUUAUUAUUUAUUUCAUUGUUAUUGUCCCUCUUAUUCAUGCAACUGUCAUUUAUUCCCCUCCAUUACAUCAGUGUGGUUUAAGUUUUGUGCAACUCAGACACUGUGGAUGACCCUUACAUGGAGGUGCACAAGUUCUUCCAUCUGCUAAAAUCACACCUUAAACUGUCAUAACCUGACCUCAUUCUACUGGCUCAGUUCUAAACUGAAUCAAAUUUAAAGCUUUCUGCACUGGCUUUAAGGACUGCCACUGGAUUUGCACCCCUACCUCAAUGCACUUAUUCAAUUGUUACUGCCUGAUGCUGUUAUUUCAUUUAGCCUGUUUGUAUUUCUCACCCUUGAUGGAAUGGCCACUGUUUCGUUGGAUACUUCAAUAAUUGAAUAACUGAAAUUACCUUCUGGAAAUGUGAACUUUUAAGUGGUCAAACUUUUUAGCAUUUUGCAAUAUGUUUUUAUUUACUGGUUGAGCAAUAUUCCCCAAUAGCUCUAUGGUGGAGAAUUUGGACAUCCUACAAUGCAGCCUCAACCAAUGCCAGGUCUACUACAAUAGAAACGGAACAAGGUAGAGUCAGUCAACUGCAGGUGUGUAUCCAAAACCACUCAAGCUCAGAUAUAUAGGGGCGCCCCGCACUCAGUGAGAAUUAAGCAGCAGAGAUGGUUGAUCAUUGGUGCCUUGCCAAGCAUGUUUUAUUGUUUACAUAUUCUCUCUUCUUUUGAACUGUGCUUGUUGUUUGUGUCUGACUUUGAAGACAAACCAGUCUAGAAUUGUUUUUGUUCUACUUGUUGCAUUUUGCUAGUUAGGGUUAACCUGUCUGCAUGAUUUGUUUUUGCUAAUUUUAAUUAAGCCUAGGCCUGUUGUUCGUUGCUUUUUGUUCCUUUUUUUUUUUUUUAAUCUGUUUUUUUUUUUGUUGUGGUUUUUGUGUUAUGCUGAGACUUAUUUUAUUUAUAUUUUAUAUUUUAAAUUUAUAUUUUAUAUAAUUUAGAUUAGAUUAGAUUAGUUUUUUUUGGCAACAGUGACCAUAUGCCCCCUGUUCCUUUUGUAUUCUUCUGUGCUCAUACUCAUUAACUUUUAUUUACCUUUUA
Megalobrama amblycephala (Wuchang bream) is the source of this 3355-nucleotide long non-coding RNA. RefSeq lists it as uncharacterized. The record is from RefSeq and is a predicted model, not a curated record. Lineage: Eukaryota; Metazoa; Chordata; Actinopteri; Cypriniformes; Xenocyprididae. The transcript is spliced from 3 exons.